This 253-nucleotide ribosomal RNA is filed under the name uncultured bacterium. RNAcentral describes it as "partial 16S ribosomal RNA". It matches the Rfam family "Bacterial small subunit ribosomal RNA", at positions 524 to 776 of the family's 1533-position model. The record is from RNAcentral.
UACGUAGGGUGCAAGCGUUAAUCGGAAUUACUGGGCGUAAAGCGUGCGCAGGCGGCUUUGCAAGACAGAUGUGAAAUCCCCGGGCUUAACCUGGGAACUGCAUUUGUGACUGCAUGGCUGGAGUGCGGCAGAGGGGGAUGGAAUUCCGCGUGUAGCAGUGAAAUGCGUAGAUAUCAGGAGGAAUACCGAUGGCGAAGGCAGGUCCCUGGGUUGACACUGACGCUCAUGCACGAAAGCGUGGGGAGCAAACAGG